RNAcentral lists this ribosomal RNA (1869 nucleotides) under human gut metagenome. Its description in RNAcentral is "bacterial LSU rRNA". It matches the Rfam family "Bacterial large subunit ribosomal RNA", at positions 831 to 2723 of the family's 2925-position model. The record is from RNAcentral.
AAUCGAACCCGGAGAUAGCUGGUUCUCCUCGAAAUAGCUUUAGGGCUAGCCUCAUUUUAGUCUUAUGGAGGUAGAGCACUGAAUUUCCGCGGGGGCGUCAAAGCUUACCAAAGAAUAUCAAACUCCGAAUGCCAUGUAGAUGAUGAAUGGGAGUCAGACUGCACGAGAUAAGUUGGGUGGUCAAAAGGGAAAGAGCCCAGACCUACAGCUAAGGUCCCAAAGUGCGUGUUAAGUGGAAAAGGAUGUGGGAUUUCAAAGACAACCAGGAUGUUGGCUCAGAAGCAGCCAUACAUUCAAAGAGUGCGUAACAGCUCACUGGUCGAGAGGUCCUGCGCCGAAAAUGUCCGGGGCUGAAACACGACACCGAAGCUUAGGAAUCACAUAGUGAUUGGUAGAGGAGCAUUCUUAAAACCGACGAAGCUGUACCGGAAGGAGCAGUGGAGGGAUAAGAAGAGAGAAUGCCGGAAUGAGUAGCGAGAGGAAGGUGGGAAUCCUUCCGGCCGAAUAUCUAAGGUUUCCAGAGUAAAGCUGAUCUGCUCUGGGUAAGUCGGGGCCUAAGGAGAGGUCGAAAGACGUAUCCGAUGGACAACAGGUUUAGAUUCCUGUACCACAUAUAAACAGAACUGUGGGGACGCAUGUGGAAAGCAUAAGCCGGGAAUGGAAAUACCGGUACAAACGGAAGAGGUGUCAGGCUGGCAAAUCCGCCUGGCAAGCCAAAGACGUGAUGUGGAGCGAAAUAAAAGUAGCGAAGUAUGUGAGCCAUGUGCCGAGAAAAGCCGCUAUUGUUUUAUAUGUGCCCGUACCGUAAACCGACACAGGUGGAUGAGGAGAGAAUCCUAAGGCCGACGGAAGAAGCAUUGUUAAGGAACUCGGCAAAAUGACCCCGUAACUUCGGGAGAAGGGGUGCCCACUUCAGGGUGGGCCGCAGAGAAUAGGCUCAAGCAACUGUUUAGCAAAAACACAGGUCUAUGCGAAACCGAAAGGUGAGGUAUAUGGGCUGACGCCUGCCCGGUGCUGGAAGGUUAAGAGGAGAGGUUAGCGCAAGCGAAGCUUUGAAUUUAAGCCCCAGUAAACGGCGGCCGUAACUAUAACGGUCCUAAGGUAGCGAAAUUCCUUGUCGGGUAAGUUCCGACCCGCACGAAAGGCGUAAUGAUUUGAGCGCUGUCUCGACAAUGCAUCCGGUGAAAUUGAAGUACCAGUGAAGAUGCUGGUUACCUGCGCCAGGACGGAAAGACCCCAUGGAGCUUUACUCCAGCUUGAUACUGGGAUUCGAUACUGUAUGUACAGGAUAGGUGGGAGACGUUGAACAUAGAACGCCAGUUUUAUGUGAGUCGCUGUUGGGAUACCACCCUUGCAGUAUUGGAUUUCUAACCUGCACCCAUGACCUGGGUGGGGGACAAUGUCUGGCGGGGAGUUUGACUGGGGCGGUCGCCUCCGAAAGGGUAUCGGAGGCGCUCAAAGGUUCCCUCAGAAUGGUUGGAAACCAUUCGAAGAGUGCAAAGGCAGAAGGGAGCUUGACUGCGACACCGACGGGUGGAGCAGGUACGAAAGUAGGACUUAGUGAUCCGGUGGUAUUAAGUGGGAAUGCCAUCGCUCAACGGAUAAAAGCUACCCUGGGGAUAACAGGCUUAUCACUCCCAAGAGUUCACAUCGACGGAGUGGUUUGGCACCUCGAUGUCGGCUCAUCGCAUCCUGGGGCUGAAGUAGGUCCCAAGGGUUGGGCUGUUCGCCCAUUAAAGCGGUACGCGAGCUGGGUUCAGAACGUCGUGAGACAGUUCGGUCCCUAUCCGGCGCGGGCGGAGGAUAUUUGAGAGGAGCUGUCCUUAGUACGAGAGGACCGGGAUGGACGGACCACUGGUGUAUCUGUUG